This 351-nucleotide ribosomal RNA is filed under the name uncultured Pseudomonas sp. RNAcentral's name for it is "bacterial SSU rRNA". It matches the Rfam family "Bacterial small subunit ribosomal RNA", at positions 1032 to 1382 of the family's 1533-position model. Lineage: Bacteria; Pseudomonadati; Pseudomonadota; Gammaproteobacteria; Pseudomonadales; Pseudomonadaceae. The record is from RNAcentral.
AGACGAGUGCUGCAUGGCUGUCGUCAGCUCGUGUCGUGAGUAUGUUGGGUUAAGUCCCGCAACGAGCGCAACCCUUGCCUUUAGUUGCCAGCAGUUCGGCUGGGCACUCUAAAGGGACUGCCGGUGUUAAACCGGAGGAAGGUGGGGAUGACGUCAAGUCCUCAUGGCCUUUAUGACCAGGGCUACACACGUACUACAAUGGCCGAUACAAAGGGUUGCCAAGCCGCGAGGUGGAGCUAAUCCCAUAAAACCGAUCGUAGUCCGGAUCGCAGUCUGCAACUCGACUGCGUGAAGUCGGAAUCGCUAGUAAUCGUGAAUCAGAAUGUCACGGUGAAUACGUUCCCGGGCCUU